Molecule: long non-coding RNA, 163 nt
Organism: Etheostoma cragini (Arkansas darter)
Lineage: Eukaryota; Metazoa; Chordata; Actinopteri; Perciformes; Percidae
Exons: 3
Source: RefSeq, a predicted model, not a curated record
AUUCAGAUCCCGUUUACGGAGAGCCAGUUCACUCCCUGUUCAGCCCCAUUGUACCAAAUUUGGUUGCAGUUCCACCAGAGUUCCACUGGGGGUGAUCGCAGGCGAGUGCAAAAUGAAUGGGACCCAAUGGAGCUAGAUGGCUAACUGUAUGGGAGUCUAUGGA